AGCUGGUUUGAAGGUAGUGAGUUAUCUCAGUUGAUUUUUCACAAUCAGUUACAGAUUAAACUCCUUGUUCUACUCUUUCCCUCCCUCUCAUUGCUGCACUUGACUGGUCUUUA
Otolemur garnettii (small-eared galago) is the source of this 113-nucleotide unclassified non-coding RNA. It matches the Rfam family "Y RNA". From Rfam's summary of the family: Y RNAs are components of the Ro ribonucleoprotein particle (Ro RNP), in association with Ro60 and La proteins. The Y RNAs and Ro60 and La proteins are well conserved, but the function of the Ro RNP is not known. In humans the RNA component can be one of four small RNAs -- hY1, hY3, hY4 and hY5. Lineage: Eukaryota; Metazoa; Chordata; Mammalia; Primates; Galagidae. The record is from Ensembl.